CCUACGGGAGGCAGCAGUGGGGGAUAUUGCACAAUGGGGGGAACCCUGAUGCAGCGACGCCGCGUGGGUGAAGAAGCGCCUCGGCGUGUAAAGCCCUGUCAGCAGGGAAGAAAAUGACGGUACCUGAAGAAGAAGCCCCGGCUAACUACGUGCCAGCAGCCGCGGUAAUACGUAGGGGGCAAGCGUUAUCCGGAUUUACUGGGUGUAAAGGGCGUGUAGCCGGGUUGACAAGUCAGAUGUGAAAUCCGGCGGCUUAACCGCAGAACUGCAUUUGAAACUGUUGAUCUUGAGUACUGGAGAGGCAGACGGAAUUCCUAGUGUAGCGGUGAAAUGCUUAGAUAUCACGAAGAACUCCGAUUGCGAAGGCAGCUUACUAAACUGCCACUGACGUUGAUGCUCGAAAGUGUGGGUAUCAAACAGGAUUAGAUACCCCGGUAGUC
Molecule: ribosomal RNA, 440 nt
Filed under: uncultured bacterium
Lineage: Bacteria
Description: partial 16S ribosomal RNA
Rfam family: Bacterial small subunit ribosomal RNA
Source: RNAcentral